AUGUUGGGUGGCACUUCGGCUGCCGGAGAAGGAGAAUAUAAAGCCCGCCGUUCUCGGAACUUUUCAGGCGACGCAAGUCUGCGCCAGCACUUCCACUCCCGCGGGAUCUUGGGAAGUGUAGUUCCGGAGCUCGGAGCCACCGCGCACUUCCGUCGCGGGGUAGCGAUCGCGGCCCGUGUCGUACCUCUCAGGGCGGUCUUUGCAGUACCACUCGCUCUUCUUAGCGUAAAGAAGGCAGCCCCUGGACUACUUCUGACCUGUUUUUUUGAAGAAAGCGUGCAUCGCUCACAGAUGGAAUUUGAAGCAAAAGAGAAACAAGAUUUACAACACUGGCUGUGGUGUGAGAGCUGGAUUCAAGGACCACUCCUGCCUCUUGACCCCACCUGUCAAUGGGUAUAAAAAUUGUCAUCAUGAUUUCUUGAAAACUUGCUGAAAUGUCAGGUACUUUGCCAAGGGUACUGCAUGAAUUUAUUCAUUUAUUCCCCAUAAUAAUCCUAUGACUAAUAAUCUGUUUUUCUUCUUUUUAUAGCUGAGGAUGGGCACCAAUGUGUAGGUGGUUGGACAAAGGUCACCUAACUAUCGUAACAGUAGCUUCUUCACAGGUAUGUGUGAGGGACCUAAAUGAGACAUGAGCCAAGUGCUUCACAAGGCCUCUAAUAUCUACUUAGUGUUUAUUUAAUGUUAACCAUUAUUGUUUUUAUGAUUAUGAUGAUAAUUAGCUUGUUAAUUUCAUUGACAUUGAUUAUCAAAUUUGGGGUUAAAUAAAACUUAGAGAGACACAGGUUUUUGUUAAAGUUCCUUAUCUCCAUGAUAAAGUCUUUUUAAGACCCUACUUUGUUAACAAGGUAGAUUUUGCAACCCAGUCAUCCAUAGAGUUAGACUCACAGACACAGAGGAGGUAGUCACCAGUGGCUUGGGAGUGGGAGUUAUUGCUCAGUGGGUUCAGAAUUUCAGUUUGGGGUGGUACAGAAGUUCUGGAGAUGAACAGUGUAGGUGGUUGCACAACAUUGUCAAUGCACUUACUAAAUUGUACACUUAGAAGUGGUUAAAGUGGCAAAUUUUACAUUUUAUAUUUUACAUCCCCCAAACCCCAGUCAUUUAGGAAAUCUUAAAUAUUAUUUCAGAGGCAUCAAGUUAAGCAUGACAGACUAAGAGAAUAACAGAUACUCCAGAAGUUCGAGGUGGUUUUCAUUUGAAAGCAACAACCUUUUGGCUUUUUUUUCCUCAUUCUCAUGUUAUGCCUUCCUAAGACUUAGUGAUCCCCAGAAGGAGGAGGACACAAUGACCAAAUUCAAGGUGAGUUGGGCUUACUUUUCCACAUUUUAAAUUGUCGUUUUCAUUUCUGAGAGAUUACAUCCAUCUAGCUUCUUUUUCUGAGGAAGAAUUAAGGAUAAUAGUAGGCAUUUGAGAAGCUCUUGGGUGCCAGAUGCUUGCUACCUUUCAGUAUAGUUUAAUUUUCAUUGCUUUAUCAUUUUA
RNAcentral lists this long non-coding RNA (1476 nucleotides) under Ictidomys tridecemlineatus (thirteen-lined ground squirrel). RNAcentral's name for it is "lncRNA (ENSSTOG00000030396.1)". The record is from RNAcentral. Lineage: Eukaryota; Metazoa; Chordata; Mammalia; Rodentia; Sciuridae.